Long non-coding RNA from Cygnus atratus (black swan), 1063 nucleotides. RefSeq lists it as uncharacterized. NCBI's taxonomy places the organism in Eukaryota, Metazoa, Chordata, Aves, Anseriformes, Anatidae. The transcript is spliced from 4 exons. The record is from RefSeq and is a predicted model, not a curated record.
UGCUUAUCUGCUUAAUUCCAGGAAAUAGCUGCAUUUAAAAAGAAAAACAACAACAACAACAACAGAAAACCAGCUUUGACAGAGAACUGGUGUAGAAUGGACACAUCAGAUAAGUCAGUGUUUGUCAAAUGUAUAAGCAACAGAAGAAAAUAGUCUUAAAAUAUAAAUAAUGGCUAGCUUAAAAAAUAGCUGCUUUUCUCAGCCUUGCUCAGAACCUCUUGGUUGUACUCCCCUACCUACUCCAUGAGCAUUGUGAUAGAAGGUUAGUGAAUGAAGGGAUGCAGUUUUUACUUGAUGUUUGUCUCCCUUUCCUGGAAAUAUGUAACUCUUUAGAAGUACAUUUGUGUUGGGUGUUUGAGUAUGAUACUCAGACAAAUCUGUUCCACUUGUAUCUUCUUUUUCCAUAGUAUUUUCCCUACCUGUUACCUCGACAGGGGUUCCUACAGAGGAAAGAGCUACCUGGAUAAAUGUAAAGGAGAUAAAAUCUCAACUUAGAAGAGCCAGAACCAAGACAGCCUACUUGUGCAGAAUGUCGUUCUAGAUGGAAGAGGAAGUUUGAUCUGCUGUGGUCCAGAGGCGCUGUUCUUCCUUAGAAAUUUGGGACAUUGUUGAAAAUACUGGAUGCUUUAGAAGUGGAUGUGGACAUCCUGUUGUUGGAGGGAAUGGCUUCUGUUUACUGCAGCUUGCAACUUUCGAAUUUGGUACAAAAUAAACUGCAAAAAAUCGAUUUGAAGUGCAUAUGUUAGUAGAACCAAGUAUGAACAAUGGUAUAAUUCUACCAUCUAGUUAAGUGUCUGGCAAUGCAGAAGCUGCUGUUUAUGAGCUGUGUUACUAUCUUCAUUUGAGGCCUGUUUGGUGUGUGCUGUGAAGCUUCUGUCUGUAUCUAAGCAAGAAAAGCUUCGUUUCUGUAGGAGGGCACAAGUGACCACAGUUGCCUGGAAGAUUUUUGCUGCUUGUCUUCUGUGGACUAUCAGUACUUAAGUCAUCCCAAAUCAGGGUACAAGCUCUGAGAGCUUGGAGCCUCUUACGAUGGACUUGUUGUAGAAUGGUCCGUGGAGGAAGU